GUGAGCUAACUGGUGCCGGUGGUGGAAGGAUUUUCACAGGAGGUGAUGGUGAAAUCACAGGAGCCGGUGGAGGAGGUGAUUUUACAGGCGGUGGCGGCGAGCUAACGGGUGCCGUUGGUGGAGGGGAUUUCAUGGGAGACGAUGGUGAAACCAUUGGAGCUAGUGGAGGAGGUAAUUUUACAGGUGGUGGCGGUGAGUUGACUGGAGUAGGUGGUGAAGAGUAUUUCACAGGAGGCGGUGGUGAGCUAACUGGAGCCGGUGGAGGAGGUGAUUUUACAGGUGGUGGUAGUGAGCUGACUGGAGCAGGUGGUGGAGGGGAUUGCGCCAGAGGAGGUGGUGAGCUUACUGGAGCCGGUGGUGGUGAUUUUAUAGGUGGUGGUGGUGAGCUGACUGGAGCAGGCGGUGGAGGGGAUUGCAUCGGAGGAGGAGGUGAGCUUAUUAGAGCUGAUGGAGGAGGUGAGUUUGCUUGUGGUGGGGGUGGCGACCUUAUCGGUGGUGGAGGAGGUGAUGAUUUCGUUAGCGGUGGAGGUGACCUCACCGGCGCUGGUGGCGGCGGCGAACUUAACAGUGGUGAAGGAGGUGGUGAUUUCACUGACGAUGGAGGUGACCUCACCGGCACCGGUGGUGGCGGUGAUUUAAUCAUCGGUGGAGGUGAUGGUGGUGAAGGAGAUUUCACCGUUGGAGGCGGUUCACUCACAUAUGCUGGAGAUGGAGGUGAUUUUACUAGUGGUGGUGAGCUAACCGAAACCGGUGGAGGAGGGAAUUUGGUAGGUGGGGGAGGCGAGCUAAUAGGUGCUGGUGGGGGUGGAGAUUUCAUUGAUGGCGGUGGUGAACUAAUCGGUGAUGGCGGUGGCGGUGGUGGUGACCUCACCGGUACUGGUGGUGGCGGCGAACUUACUGGUGGUGGAGGAGGUGGUGAUUUCACUGGCGCUGGAGGUGACCUUGGUGGCAACGGCGGUGGAGAUUUCACAGAUGGAGGUGGUAAACUCAUAGAUACUGGAGGUGGAGGCGAUUUUAGUAGUGGUGGUGGUGAGCUAACCGGAACCGGUGGAGGAGGAGAUUUGAUAAGUGGGGGAGGCGAGCUAAUAGGUGCUGGUGCUGGUGCGGGUGCGGGUGGAGAUUUCACUGAUGGUGGCGGCGACGGCUGUGGGCUCACUGGCUGUGGUGCUGGGGACUUCUUUGGUGGUUGGUUCUCCGGUGAUGGCGCUGGUGGCAACGGAUGUGGACUAACGUCUGGUGGCCUAGGAACCUUCUUCGCUGGUGGCGCAGGCAUCUUG
RNAcentral lists this long non-coding RNA (1277 nucleotides) under Zea mays. Its description in RNAcentral is "long non-coding RNA (ZMAY_LNC000280)". Lineage: Eukaryota; Viridiplantae; Streptophyta; Magnoliopsida; Poales; Poaceae. The record is from RNAcentral.